Molecule: ribosomal RNA, 253 nt
Filed under: uncultured bacterium
Lineage: Bacteria
Description: partial 16S ribosomal RNA
Rfam family: Bacterial small subunit ribosomal RNA
Source: RNAcentral
UACGUAGGGGGCAAGCGUUGUCCGGAAUCAUUGGGCGUAAAGCGCGUGUAGGCGGUCCGGUAAGUCCGCUGUGAAAGUCGGGGGCUUAACCCUCGGAUGCCGGUGGAUACUGUCGGGCUUGAGUACGGAAGAGGCGAGUGGAAUUCCUGGUGUAGCGGUGAAAUGCGCAGAUAUCAGGAGGAACACCAAUGGCGAAGGCAGCUCGCUGGGACGUUACUGACGCUGAGACGCGAAAGCGUGGGGAGCAAACAGG